UACGUAGGGUGCAAGCGUUAAUCGGAAUUACUGGGCGUAAAGCGUGCGCAGGCGGCUUUGCAAGACAGAUGUGAAAUCCCCGGGCUCAACCUGGGAACUGCAUUUGUGACUGCAUGGCUAGAGUGCGGCAGAGGGGGAUGGAAUUCCGCGUGUAGCAGUGAAAUGCGUAGAUAUGCGGAGGAACACCGAUGGCGAAGGCAAUCCCCUGGGCCUGCACUGACGCUCAUGCACGAAAGCGUGGGUAGCGAACAGG
This 253-nucleotide ribosomal RNA is filed under the name uncultured bacterium. RNAcentral describes it as "partial 16S ribosomal RNA". It matches the Rfam family "Bacterial small subunit ribosomal RNA", at positions 524 to 776 of the family's 1533-position model. The record is from RNAcentral.